UGAGGAAUCUUGCGCAAUGGGGGAAACCCUGACGCAGCAACGCCGCGUGAGUGAGGAAGGUCUUCGGAUCGUAAAGCUCUGUCAGAUGGAAAGAACCGCAUGGGGGCCAAUACCCCUCAUGCCUGACGGUACCAUCAGAGGAAGCACCGGCUAACUCCGUGCCAGCAGCCGCGGUACUACGGGGGGUGCAAGCGUUGUUCGGAAUUAUUGGGCGUAAGGAGCGUGUAGGCGGCAGGAUGUGUCAGAUGUGAAAGCCCUGAGCUCAACUCAGGAAGUGCAUUUGAAACUGGCCAGCUUGAGUAGGGGAGAGGGAAGUGGAAUUCCUGGUGUAGAGGUGAAAUUCGUAGAUAUCAGGAGGAACACCGGUGGCGAAGGCGACUUCCUGGCCCUAUACUGACGCUGAGACACGAGAGCGUGGGUAGCAAACA
Molecule: ribosomal RNA, 428 nt
Filed under: uncultured prokaryote
Description: bacterial SSU rRNA
Rfam family: Bacterial small subunit ribosomal RNA
Source: RNAcentral